GGCAGGAGUCUCCUGUCUUUUCCUUGACCAUGAAUUUAUUGCUGAAGAAAACCUGUUGUGUCCGGAGCCACUUGGGCUGCUCCUUUGGCGAACCGGGCAUGGAUCUCUUAGUCUAUGAGCGACAUGUGAGUUGCUGCCAAACGCAAUGGAGGGGGACCCCUGCCAAGCUUAGGGCAAAACACUUGUCUCAAUGACUUGAAUGGGC
Pelobates cultripes (western spadefoot toad) is the source of this 205-nucleotide non-coding RNA. NCBI's taxonomy places the organism in Eukaryota, Metazoa, Chordata, Amphibia, Anura, Pelobatidae. The record is from the annotation of a GenBank genome assembly.